This 253-nucleotide ribosomal RNA is filed under the name uncultured bacterium. RNAcentral's name for it is "partial 16S ribosomal RNA". It matches the Rfam family "Bacterial small subunit ribosomal RNA", at positions 524 to 776 of the family's 1533-position model. The record is from RNAcentral.
UACGGAGGGAGCUAGCGUUGUUCGGAUAUACUGGGCGUAAAGCGCACGUAGGCGGCGCCGUAAGUCAGGGGUGAAAUCCCGGAGCUCAACUCCGGAACUGCCCUUGAAACUGCAGUGCUAGAAUUCUGGAGAGGCGAGUGGAAUUCCGAGUGUAGAGGUGAAAUUCGUAGAUAUUCGGAAGAACACCAGUGGCGAAGGCGACUUACUGGACAUCUGUUGACGCUGAGGUGCGAAAGCGUGGGGAGCAAACAGG